RNAcentral lists this ribosomal RNA (497 nucleotides) under uncultured bacterium. RNAcentral describes it as "partial 16S ribosomal RNA". It matches the Rfam family "Bacterial small subunit ribosomal RNA", at positions 28 to 507 of the family's 1533-position model. The record is from RNAcentral.
GAUGAACGCUGGCGGCGUGCCUAACACAUGCAAGUCGAGCGAACAGACGAGGAGCUUGCUCCUCUGACUGUGUCGGGGGACGGGUCAGUAACACGUGGUUAGCCUACCUCUAAGACUGUGAUAACUUUAGGGGACCGGGUCUAAUACCCGAUGAUAUAUUGAACCUCAUUGUGCAAUCGUUAAAGACGGUUUUUCUGUCACUUAUAGAUGGAUCCGCGCCGAAUUAGCUAGUUGGUAAGGUAACUGCUUAACAACGCGACGAUGGGUAGCCGCCCUGAAAGGGUGAUUCGACAGACUGGAAGUGAGACACGGUCCAGACACCGACGGGAGGACGCAGUAGGGAAUCUUCCGCGAUGCGCGAGAGCCUGAUGGAGCACAACCGGGUGAGUCAUGAAGGUCUUAGGAUCGUAAAGCUAUGUUAUUAGGGAAGAACAAAUGUGUAAGUACCUAUGAACGUAUUGACGGUAUCUAGUCAGAAAGCCACGGCUAACUACGUG